This 2416-nucleotide long non-coding RNA is filed under the name Varroa destructor (honeybee mite). RNAcentral's name for it is "uncharacterized LOC111252268, transcript variant X2". The record is from RNAcentral. Lineage: Eukaryota; Metazoa; Arthropoda; Arachnida; Mesostigmata; Varroidae.
CGGUCCGCUUGUGGCUCGUCUAGGAGAUGCUUAAAUAAAGAUCACAACUUAGGAAGGUCUUAUGGAAAGACAACUCACGAGGUCAAGGUUACUUUUCAUCGCUUUUUUGGAAGCCCAUCUAUACUUAACGCACGUGUUCGCUCAUUGUGUGCUCAUCAAGACCGCCAUCUGCAACAUAAGAACAUUUUUCAUAGGCGUAACGGAUCACUCAACGUCAUCAGCUCGUUACACCGUCUGUCUCAUCCUAAAUUACCGAUCAUACGACUAAACGGAUUUGGUGGUGGAAGUUUUUGGUACGUCUUACGGAUCCUCGUCUCCCAACAGGGCUUAUCAAGGCCCACUUGAGGUUAAAAGGUACAGCUUCUGUGCAUCAUCUAGAUGGGGCAGCCUUCCUUGGCCCUUCAGCGUAUGAAAGUCGAUAGUUAACGUGAAUGGUACGAAAAAGCGUUUGCGAGUCGCGGUACAGCCUGUAUCUCGUGCAUCAAAGCGCAGAACCAACAUCUACGUUCUUCGUUCCGCGCUCACUCUCGUCAUGCAGAUCUGACAAGAACUAAGUGUCACCAUUGCCGCUGCCAGAUACGCCUUCUCGUGUUGCCGCUGCCGCACUUAGGCGACGGCGACGGCGGUAAUUGGAUGUAAUUCAUCGCUUGGCCGACCAUCGGUUUCGGCGACCUUUUGACACUGUAUGUUCUUUUGUAUCCCUUUCGUUUUCUAGCCCAUAGAAUCUACGGCGAGUGCAACGUCAGCAAUAAACAGACACCACCGUGUGCCUCAUACGUCUUAGCUUACUUAGUUAUUCUAUCUUUUAUUGCCGCUUGCAUACUCAAGUUAACUGUACAUAUUUCUCAGUGAGGCAGAAUAGAAGACUACUGGCUAACCUAUGAAAAGAGAGCCCCGUCGACGUCGCUUCGCGACCCACAAUUGGUUGGUCGGCCAAUGUCCAAAAACCAUCUGGAACAGCGAGCGUCAGACAGACGAAACGACUGGCAAAUGACCAGGGGCUCAGCACCCCUCCAUCUCUCUCUUCAGCCACCAAGCGAAUGGAAAAUACAGUAGCACCGCAUAGAUACACAGCACGGCACAUAACGUAUAACCGACAUACAUUUAUGCGCAGACAGAUACACUAGAUGUAGAAUGGCGACAGUUUGCGGGUGCCCGUACGCGGUGACGCUCUCCUUUCGCGGGUAUUCGCCGUUUUGUUAGGUACGACAAUUCUUGAAACAUCUCCCCAUCCUCAUUCUCCGACAGUGCCCUUGCUAGGCACACCUCCUAGUGGACUCGUGUUCUCCUCGGAAGUUCGAUGAACUUCAGUAUCGUUGCAGGAACGAAGGAACGAUUGAUUUUCCAAAGCGACGCAUUGACGCAAAGAAGACAGCGGGGAACGCGGUACUGUAGAGGAUGUGUAGACAUAGCAGUAUGAAUGCUAAAAAAAUUCGCAAGAGGGUUUUAGUGGAAAACACAGCAGGCUUAGGUGUAAUUAAGUGUCUCCUGUUUUUUUUUUUAAAGAAAGAGGAAAACACUGCAAAUUAAGAUCCGGUAACUCAUGCGUUUGCUUUAAUAAAAAUUACGCUGACAUUAAAUGAAAAAACAGUUGUAAAACGUAUAAUUCUUUACAUCGAUAAUAGUUCAUGGAAUAAUUGUCACUAUGAGUAGUGGCGUUUUAUCGUUCGGAUGUGAUUGUCUCGAUUAUACUGACCGCCAAAACUUAUUCUGGUUUUUCCUUUACCUUCUCUAUCUAUUGAAUGUUUCAUAGAUACUUUUGGAAAUUGGCCACAGCUGUUCUUCCGAUAAACUAAUUACAAUUGCACUCAUAAUAAUAGCUAUCUGUGUGUUUACCAGGUAUCUCAACAGAUGAUUGAAGCUCAUAGCUGGUUCGAUAGACACGAUUCAUCCUAAUAGCCAUAUCGUUUUUUCCCUUCUCAAAUGGAUAUACGUAACACUUGGUCGCGAUACACAUGCGCAUCAACUUCGGUCAUUCUUCCGUGGCCACAUCUUGCGACUGUCGCCCGCCCGGACGUUAGCAGAAAGAGGUCUGCAUAAACGAGCGAACGUGGAUGUUGAUGCCGGCCAUCUAAGAUGAGAGGGGACUAUCGACAUUCCUGCGCAAUCGACCGAGAAAAGCAACUCCGCAUCUUGCACGCAUCCGCUGGGGACUGGCUGUCGUCCAGCAACAUCGAAUCCGCCUGCUGAACAUAGUAAGGAAACGCUAGGCCUACUAUCAGCCUGAACAGAUUGUAUGUGUAGCACUUGAAAAAACGGCUGAAACUAGCAGGCAACACAACAGCUUCAAAGCGAACUCAUACGAAGGGCUUCUCCAAUGAAACUUCAAACUUUAAGGACGACCCGCAACAAUGACACUGUCUAAUUCUGUAUUUUACCUACAGUUUACUAUAUAACGAUAAACGUAAAUAAACAA